RNAcentral lists this ribosomal RNA (497 nucleotides) under uncultured bacterium. RNAcentral describes it as "partial 16S ribosomal RNA". It matches the Rfam family "Bacterial small subunit ribosomal RNA", at positions 28 to 507 of the family's 1533-position model. The record is from RNAcentral.
GAUGAACGCUGGCGGCGUGCCUAAUACAUGCAAGUCGAGCGAACAGACGAGGAACUUGCUCCUCUGACGUUAGCGGCGGACGGGUGAGUAAAACGUGGAUAACCUACCUAUAAGACUGGGAUAACUUCGGGAAACCGGAGCUAAUACCGGAUAAUAUAUUGAACCGCAUGGUUCAAUAGUGAAAGACGGUUUUGCUUUCACUUAUAGAUGGAUCCGCGCCGCAUUAGCUAGUUGGUAAGGUAACGGCUUACCAAGGCAACGAUGCGUAGCCGACCUGAGAGGGUGACCGGCCACACUGGAACUGAGACACGGUCCAGACUCCUACGGGAGGCAGCAGUAGGGAAUCUUCCGCAAUGGGCGAAAGCUUGACGGAGCAACGCCGCGUGAGUGAUGAAGGUCUUCGGAUCGUAAAACUCUGUUAUUAGGGAAGAACAAAUGUGUAAGUAACUAUGCACGUCUUGACGGUACCUAAUCAGAAAGCCACGGCUAACUACGUG